AGUAGGGAAUAUUGGACAAUGGGCGAAAGCCUGAUCCAGCCAUGCCGCGUGAGUGAUGAAGGCCUUAGGGUUGUAAAGCUCUUUCAGUGGGGAAGAUAAUGACGGUACCCACAGAAGAAGCCCCGGCUAACUUCGUGCCAGCAGCCGCGGUAAUACGAAGGGGGCUAGCGUUGUUCGGAUUUACUGGGCGUAAAGCGCACGUAGGCGGGUCGUUAAGUCGGGGGUGAAAUCCUGGAGCUCAACUCCAGAACUGCCUUCGAUACUGGCGACCUAGAGUCCGGAAGAGGUGAGUGGAACUCCUAGUGUAGAGGUGGAAUUCGUAGAUAUUAGGAAGAACACCAGUGGCGAAGGCGGCUCACUGGUCCGGUACUGACGCUGAGGUGCGAAAGCGUGGGGAGCAAA
Molecule: ribosomal RNA, 402 nt
Filed under: uncultured Hyphomicrobiaceae bacterium
Lineage: Bacteria; Pseudomonadati; Pseudomonadota; Alphaproteobacteria; Hyphomicrobiales; Hyphomicrobiaceae
Description: bacterial SSU rRNA
Rfam family: Bacterial small subunit ribosomal RNA
Source: RNAcentral